AGAAAGCAACCGGAGCCCAGAGAUGUCAAGUGACAGGCUCAAGGUCACACAGCAGUUCUCUCCCAGGACCUGGACGAGCCCUGGUCAUCCAACAAGCCCCCGCUGAGCCCAGUGGAUCUGUGGCUGGAGAGCCCUGGAUUCCAGAUGGUAUUGAUCAGUAAGAUCCUGGCUAAUCCUGGUUUUAUAAGGGGCCUGAAGGAAGAGAAGGAGCCAGCAGCAUAGAUCUCAGAGGAGCUUCAACGUCAGCCAGAGUGUCAUGAGUCCUAGUUCUGGGAAGUGCUGGGCUCUGGUUAAAAGCUAGGAGCUCCAUGGAUGCAUGCUGCAUGUUAAGUUGCCUCAGUCAUGUCCAACCCUUUGCACCUCCAUGAACCAUGGCCCAUCAGGCUCCUCUGCCCAUGAGACUCUCCAGGAGGGUUCUUUACCUCUAGCGCCACCUGGGAAGCCUCACCACCAAAGAAGAAGAUGGAUAUUUCUCCUGUGUCUCUUCUCUGUGGACUUUCAGCCCAAAUGAGCCCUAGACAGUGAUUUCCUUCCAUCCUCUCACAAGUCUGGGACUCUCCUUCCAUGUUCACCCCAACAAGGAGGUGGAGCACAGGGUCACCAUCACCUGAAUAUCAUCCUGGUGAAGUUCUCAAAUCUUUCCAUCAAAGAAACCCUAAGAAGGGAGGACACCAGCAGGUCUCCCUUGGGGAAGUCCAGCGACAUGCGCCAAAGCUGGUCCCACAAGCCAAAAUGCCUUUAGUCUCUUGUUUAUCCUUAAAAUGCACGUAUACAAUUCUGCUUCAUGAUCUAUACAUGUGACUCUCCAUGUGAUGAAAUAUGCCUGCACUUAAUCAUUCUCCUGAAAGAUGAGCUAAGUUUACAUGUGAUUCCCCGGGCCUCUGGCAUCCUGCAUGGACUCCAGGGACAUGGGCACCCAGGAUUAAGAUGCACAAAGCAGAGGAACCCCAGCCUCGGGUUCUAAUCAUCACUUGCUAUGGACACAUUGUAUGCCGUUGCUUGAACAAAGAGAGGGGCUGUUGGGGCUCUUGGUUCCACCUUCCCAGGCAGCUCAUGACCCCGAGGAUCCCAGUGCAGGGAAGCACAAGGUGGAUGACCAAAAACCGGAGCUAGAGGUGUGGGUGCAAGAGUGGGGAUCUGGGAAGAAUGUUCUGGCCAGAGGCUCUCCCCUCUCCACCGGAAGGAAUAUAGCAAAUCCCCUAAGAAGGGGGAUGUAGAACCUGUGUCAAAGGCCUCCUAGCUGGGGACCAACAACUGCCAGUAGCUUCCAGGAGAUCUGGUACCUAGCACAGUCCUUGCACAUAAUAAUCCUUAAUCAACAUUUGUUGAAUGGAUAGAUGAAUCAAUGGCGAAU
This is a long non-coding RNA of Bos taurus (domestic cattle), 1354 nucleotides long. Lineage: Eukaryota; Metazoa; Chordata; Mammalia; Artiodactyla; Bovidae. The record is from Ensembl.